This 322-nucleotide ribosomal RNA is filed under the name uncultured eukaryote. RNAcentral describes it as "partial 18S ribosomal RNA". It matches the Rfam family "Eukaryotic small subunit ribosomal RNA", at positions 1470 to 1796 of the family's 1831-position model. The record is from RNAcentral.
CCCUUAGAUGUUCUGGGCUGCACGCGCGCUACACUGAGUGGAUCAGCGGGUCAGGUUGCGCGAAAGUGUUUCCUAAUCUUGAAAUCCGCUCGUGAUGGGGAUUGACGGUUGCAAUUUUCUGUCAUGAACGAGGAAUACCUUGUAAGCGCGGGUCAUCAUCCCGCGCUGAAUACGUCCCUGCCCUUUGUACACACCGCCCGUCGCUCCUACCGAUUGAGUGGUCCGGUGAGGCUUUGGGAUCUGGAUGGAAAGAGCGUUUCGCUGUUUCUGCCCGGAAAACUCAGUCGAACCUUAUCAUUUAGAGGAAGGAGAAGUCGUAACA